AGAGUUAAACAGUGCGUGAAAUUGUUGAAAGGGAAACGCUUGACACCAGUCAUGCGAGCGGAAAAUCAGUCUUUUGCAGUGGGGAGUUGUGUGGGUUCGGACCGCAAGGCCGGCCUGCGCUGCAUCUCUGCUGUAAGUGAUGCACUUUUUCGUUUGCAGGCCAACAUCAGUUUCUUCUGCUGGACAAAACUCUUGAGAAGGUAGCAGCUUUGGCUGUGUUAUAGCUCUGGGGCGAUACAGUGGCGGGGACUGAGGUUUUCGCAGUGUGUGCUCUCGGGCAAGGCUGACUGGGUGCUAUGGGAUGGUUCAGUGUACAAUGCAUGCAUCUUGCGCUGGGUCUGUCCUGUACUCGCCUAUCUCAGCUCUUCCACGCUUAGGAUGUUGACAUAAUGGUUUUAAACGACC
This 405-nucleotide non-coding RNA is filed under the name uncultured fungus. Lineage: Eukaryota; Fungi. The record is from RNAcentral. RNAcentral also lists the same sequence under 1 other name.